UCAUAUCUUCAGCUCCCCUUAUGAAAUGAAUGGAUAGUUGAGAGUCCUUUUUUCCUAGGACUUCCAAGUGUACAAGAUGACUGCAAUAAUUGGGCCAUAUGUAUUUAGAUGCUAAUUUUCACGUGAAUAUCUUUGGAUUCACAACUUAAAUUAAUUUAUUUUCUUUGAUUUUCAAUUUGAUUUGAAAGAGCGCAAAGCUGAUACGUAUUUCUGCAGCAGAGAGGAUAUUAAAAUCAGGUCAUGUGUACACACUGCACUGGAAGGGACCUUUUGUAACCUGAUAUAAACAGGCAAGAUGACUGUACUACAUUUUGCUCUGCCAAUGGCAAGAACAAAGUUUUUCAAUUCUAGAACUUGGAUUUUUUAACAUAAGUCCCCAAAACACCAAAAAUGUAAACAAGUUGUUUUAAGGAGAUAUGGAGUAAAUAUGUGUUUGUGGCUAGAAGAAACUCAACCAACCAAAUUUUUGAAAACUUGUAUCAUGCAUGGCCCUCUGUAAAAUAUACACCAGAAAAAGGGGUGGUGUUAAUAUAAGAGAACAAAUAACAGAGAAGGAGAAAAACAAAGGAUCUUAGGUUAAUCGAUCUCUGAAAAUCUGAAAGUGAUUUUGUCACUAUUAUAAAUCAACAUACAGGAUUUCUUUAAUCACUGGUUAAAAACCAUAUGUCAAAACCAUGAUUAAAAGGUAA
This 689-nucleotide long non-coding RNA is filed under the name Suricata suricatta (meerkat). RNAcentral describes it as "lncRNA (ENSSSUG00005018932.1)". Lineage: Eukaryota; Metazoa; Chordata; Mammalia; Carnivora; Herpestidae. The record is from RNAcentral.